Pogona vitticeps (central bearded dragon) is the source of this 543-nucleotide non-coding RNA. NCBI's taxonomy places the organism in Eukaryota, Metazoa, Chordata, Lepidosauria, Squamata, Agamidae. The record is from RefSeq and is a predicted model, not a curated record.
UCUCUUUCUGUCCCAUGCAGAUGUUUGGGAUUCUCUGCUGUGCUGAGGACACAGAAAAUGGACAUCAGAGGCUCACCAUGUAAAUGAAUAGCAUGCCAAAAGCUCAAGAGCACAUGUUAGAGGAGCAGCUUGGAAACAACACAAGCCGACUCUAGUCUGCGGUAUCCGUGAGCCAAAGUGGGCAAGUGGACAGGCCCUCGAAACGAAAAUAAGAAUCCAAAUCAGAUGUAACAAGAAACCAAGCAUAUGUUGAACACUCUGAAAUCCCAUUGGCUUCAGUGAGAAAGAUCUAAUUGCCUCCCUAUUUUUCCCAUGCACCUUUUCGGGCUUGGCAGUACAGUACUCAGCUCAUGUCUAUGAAGCAAGUCAUUGAUGUCUCCAAGUUACCUGUACACAUUACAAACUGGAGCUAAAAUGAAUGCUCUCCUUCCUUCCCUUUCAUGGCAGAGCAAGGUGGUGACUCCCUCAGGCUAUGAAAAACACCAACUGGCAGAUGGCCCUUACCUUGGAUCAGAUUUCCAGCUUUGACCAAAUUCUAUGUAU